UGGGGAAUAUUGGACAAUGGGCGAAAGCCUGAUCCAGCCAUGCCGCGUGUGUGAAGAAGGUCUUCGGAUUGUAAAGCACUUUAAGUUGGGAGGAAGGGCAGUAAGCGAAUACCUUGCUGUUUUGACGUUACCGACAGAAUAAGCACCGGCUAACUCUGUGCCAGCAGCCGCGGUAAUACAGAGGGUGCAAGCGUUAAUCGGAAUUACUGGGCGUAAAGCGCGCGUAGGUGGUUCGUUAAGUUGAAUGUGAAAGCCCCGGGCUCAACCUGGGAACUGCAUCCAAAACUGGCGAGCUAGAGUAGGGGAGAGGGUGGUGGAAUUUCCUGUGUAGCGGUGAAAUGCGUAGAUAUAGGAAGGAACACCAGUGGCGAAGGCGACCACCUGGGCUGAUACUGACACUGAGGUGCGAAAGCGUGGGGAGCAAACAGG
RNAcentral lists this ribosomal RNA (429 nucleotides) under Pseudomonadota bacterium. Its description in RNAcentral is "Proteobacteria bacterium partial 16S ribosomal RNA". It matches the Rfam family "Bacterial small subunit ribosomal RNA", at positions 355 to 776 of the family's 1533-position model. Lineage: Bacteria; Pseudomonadati; Pseudomonadota. The record is from RNAcentral.